Molecule: ribosomal RNA, 254 nt
Filed under: uncultured bacterium
Lineage: Bacteria
Description: partial 16S ribosomal RNA
Rfam family: Bacterial small subunit ribosomal RNA
Source: RNAcentral
UACGUAGGGUGCGAGCGUUGUCCGGAAUUAUUGGGCGUAAAGAGCUCGUAGGCGGUUUGUCGCGUCGACUGUGAAAACCCGAGGCUUAACCUCGGGCUUGCAGUGGGUACGGGCAGACUAGAGUGCGGUAGGGGUGACUGGAAUUCCUGGUGUAGCGGUGGAAUGCGCAGAUAUCAGGAGGAACACCGAUGGCGAAGGCAGGUCACUGGGCCGCAACUGACGCUGAGGAGCGAAAGCAUGGGGGAGCGAACAGG